Molecule: ribosomal RNA, 205 nt
Filed under: Clostridioides difficile
Lineage: Bacteria; Bacillati; Bacillota; Clostridia; Peptostreptococcales; Peptostreptococcaceae
Description: partial 16S ribosomal RNA
Rfam family: Bacterial small subunit ribosomal RNA
Source: RNAcentral
GGAGCUAAUCCCUUAAAGCUACUCUCAGUUCGGAUUGUAGGCUGAAACUCGCCUACAUGAAGCUGGAGUUACUAGUAAUCGCAGAUCAGAAUGCUGCGGGGAAUGCGUUCCCGGGUCUUGUACACACCGCCCGUCACACCACGGGAGUUGGAGACGCCCGAAGCCGAUUAUCUAACCUUUUGGAAGAAGUCGUCGAAGGUGGAAU